CUCCUACGGGAGGCAGCAGUAGGGAAUCUUCGGCAAUGGGGGCAACCCUGACCGAGCAACGCCGCGUGAGUGAAGAAGGUUUUCGGAUCGUAAAGCUCUGUUGUAAGAGAAGAACGGGUGUGAGAGUGGAAAGUUCACACUGUGACGGUAUCUUACCAGAAAGGGACGGCUAACUACGUGCCAGCAGCCGCGGUAAUACGUAGGUCCCGAGCGUUGUCCGGAUUUAUUGGGCGUAAAGCGAGCGCAGGCGGUUUGAUAAGUCUGAAGUUAAAGGCUGUGGCUCAACCAUAGUUCGCUUUGGAAACUGUCAAACUUGAGUGCAGAAGGGGAGAGUGGAAUUCCAUGUGUAGCGGUGAAAUGCGUAGAUAUAUGGAGGAACGCCGGUGGCGAAAGCGGCUCUCUGGUCUGUAACUGACGCUGAGGCUCGAAAGCGUGGGGAGCGAACAGGAUUAGAUACCCUGGUAGUCCACGCCGUAAACGAUGAGUGCUAGGUGUUGGGUCCUUUCCGGGAUUCAGUGCCGCAGCUAACGCAUUAAGCACUCCGCCUGGGGAGUACGACCGCAAGGUUGAAACUCAAAGGAAUUGACGGGGGCCCGCACAAGCGGUGGAGCAUGUGGUUUAAUUCGAAGCAACGCGAAGAACCUUACCAGGUCUUGACAUCCCGAUGCUAUUCCUAGAGAUAGGAAGUUUCUUCGGAACAUCGGUGACCGGUGGUGCAUGGUUGUCGUCAGCUCGUGUCGUGAGAUGUUGGGUUAAGUCCCGCAACGAGCGCAACCCCUAUUGUUAGUUGCCAUCAUUCAGUUGGGCACUCUAGCGAGACUGCCGGUAAUAAACCGGAGGAAGGUGGGGAUGACGUCAAAUCAUCAUGCCCCUUAUGACCUGGGCUACACACGUGCUACAAUGGUUGGUACAACGAGUUGCGAGUCGGUGACGGCAAGCUAAUCUCUUAAAGCCAAUCUCAGUUCGGAUUGUAGGCUGCAACUCCCCUACAUGAAGUCGGAAUCGCUAGUAAUCGCGGAUCAGCACGCCGCGGUGAAUACGUUCCCGGGUCUUGUACACACGC
RNAcentral lists this ribosomal RNA (1063 nucleotides) under uncultured bacterium. RNAcentral's name for it is "bacterial SSU rRNA". It matches the Rfam family "Bacterial small subunit ribosomal RNA", at positions 336 to 1393 of the family's 1533-position model. The record is from RNAcentral.